This 158-nucleotide ribosomal RNA is filed under the name Porodaedalea pini. RNAcentral describes it as "5.8S ribosomal RNA". It matches the Rfam family "5.8S ribosomal RNA". Rfam says of the family: 5.8S ribosomal RNA (5.8S rRNA) is a component of the large subunit of the eukaryotic ribosome. It is transcribed by RNA polymerase I as part of the 45S precursor that also contains 18S and 28S rRNA. The record is from RNAcentral. Lineage: Eukaryota; Fungi; Basidiomycota; Agaricomycetes; Hymenochaetales; Hymenochaetaceae.
AAUACAACUUUCAACAACGGAUCUCUUGGCUCUCGCAUCGAUGAAGAACGCAGCGAAAUGCGAUAAGUAAUGUGAAUUGCAGAAUUCAGUGAAUCAUCGAAUCUUUGAACGCACCUUGCGCCCCUUGGUAUUCCGAGGGGCAUGCCUGCUUGAGUGUC